This 636-nucleotide ribosomal RNA is filed under the name Triticum aestivum (bread wheat). Its description in RNAcentral is "partial small subunit ribosomal RNA". Lineage: Eukaryota; Viridiplantae; Streptophyta; Magnoliopsida; Poales; Poaceae. The record is from RNAcentral.
AUGGCAACAGGGCAUUCAUGCAUUGUAUGCGAGAUGAAAGAUUUUUGGAGGCACAGCUUGAUCGAGUGCGCGAUGGCACGCUGUGUUUGGGCAUUGGUUGACCUGCUAUUGCUUGAACACUUGAUUGCUACCACUGAACCAUUAGCGAGAAACGGAUUGUUCUCGAUGAUGGAAGUCCUCUCUCAUGAUGAGCUUACACGGUUGAUAGUUACGAUAUGGGCAAUAUGGACUGUCAGGAGGAAACUCAUUAAUGAGGAGAUACAUCAAAGCCUACUCUCCACACACCUGUUUGUCACAAGGUUUAUAGCAGAGCUCGAUCAGUUAAAAGAGAACGGCCAACAAGUCACAACUAGAGCUCCUAGGAGAAACAACAGGAUCCCACCCCUCAUGGGGUUUGUAAAGUUCAAUUUCGACGUAGCUGUGCCCGUUGAUCAUAACAGGGGAACUGCAGCGCGUAUUUGCAGGGAUAGAGAUGGUACAUAUUUAGGAGCUUCGGUUUUGGUGAUUCAGGGAAUGUUAGAUCCAUCCGUACUAGACGCGUUGGCGUGCAAAGAAGCUCUUGGUUUGGUCGAAGAUCUAGGAUUACAUUAUCUGCAUAUAGCAUCAGAUUGCCAAGAGGUAGUGAAGAGUAUUUGA